AUUUAAUGAAUGCAGAUUGCUCUUAAUUAAAGGAACGUUAGCAAUUUCACGCUGGGCGUCUAAAGAGUUACAAAGACAGAUGACGGAUCAAGACAUGAGCCGCUGAUCCAUUUUAUCCGCAGUCCCAUCAAAAAUACAAGCCGUUGUGCAAAAUGUCAUUUAGGCUGUUGUAUUUAAGCCCUCACGGUGUGUUACCUUUAGCGACUAUUUAUCAGUAAACUAUCUUGCAUAAGGAAUGCAGUUGUAAAUGCUGCAGUUGACGGAGACAUUAACUGCUGAAACCAACGGAUUACACAUUCAUGAAAGUCAAAUUAAGCCGUGGUAUGUUGAACCCCAUAAACCACCCAGAUCCCCUUUUUAAAAAAAAAAUCAUUUGAUGUUUCCACAAUGGAGGAGUACUUCAGCUGAACAGUGCUGCUCGCGCCGGGACAAUGGCGGGGCGCGCAGGUGUUCCGGAAUCCGCAAGUACUGCUGUAUAGCGCCCCUAUGGCUUGCCACUGUGAAGUGCAUGCGGUCUUGAGGAAAGAGCGCCCUCUACUAACGAACCGACAGCACUUCCCCGAGGACAACUGUGCGUUCCCUGGCCUCCAAUUCAAAUUCUGCCACGACUCAGGACUCUCAUUAAGUGAGUGAUGAGAGUGAGAGAGACUGAGAGAGUGAUGUCACAGAAGAGGCGGGCUUAAGGCCAGGCGAAGCGCCAAGUCAUUCCUGACGUCAGCCUUUACAGACCUGCACCUCUGGAGGCUCGUGUUUUACGGUAGAAACGCUCCGUUUUCCCAUUGGCUCCUCGGUGACGUCACUCUGACCAAGCGGCUGAUGUCGUCGCAGCUGCAAUCUGCCUUCGGUUAUACGGGUCACGUGUGGCUUCGCACAAACUAACGACAUCCUCAAGCUUCUGACAAGCUCUCGUGUGUGUGUUCGCAUUCUAAUAAAUCGGUGUUCAGCUGUUUA
Molecule: long non-coding RNA, 951 nt
Organism: Anguilla rostrata (American eel)
Lineage: Eukaryota; Metazoa; Chordata; Actinopteri; Anguilliformes; Anguillidae
Exons: 3
Source: RefSeq, a predicted model, not a curated record